Molecule: ribosomal RNA, 858 nt
Filed under: uncultured euryarchaeote
Lineage: Archaea; Methanobacteriati; Methanobacteriota
Description: bacterial SSU rRNA
Rfam family: Archaeal small subunit ribosomal RNA
Source: RNAcentral
UUCCGGUUGAUCCUGCCGGAGGCGACCGCUUUGGGAGUUCGAUUAAGCCAUGCGAGUCGUGAGUCUUAGGGACUCGGCAUACUGCUCAGUAACACGUGGAUAACCUGCCCUAUCGUCUGGAAUAACCUCGGGAAACUGAGAAUAAGGCCGGAUAGUUCACAAUGCCUGGAACGGUUUGUGAAUCAAGGUAGGAUGGGUCUGCGGCGUAUCAGGUUGUAGGGGGUGUAAAGGACCCCCUAGCCUUCGACGCGUACGGGUGUUGGGAGACAUAGCCCGGAGAUGGAUUCUGAGACACGAAUCCAGACCCUACGGGGUGCAGCAGGCGCGAAAACUUCACACUGCAGGAAACUGUGAUGAGGGAACUCCUAGUGCAUGCACUAUGUGUAUGUAGAUCCUACUCUUAACAAGUAGAGGGAAAGGGCUGGGAAAGACCGGUGCCAGCCGCCGCGGUAAUACCGGCAGCUCAAGUGGUCGUCGCUUUUAUUGGGCCUAAAACGUCCGUAGCCUGUUUGGUAAAUCUGUGGGUAGAUCAAUCCGCUCAACGGAUUGAAUUCUGCAGAGACUGCCAGACUAGGGACCGGGAGAGGUGUGGGGUACUCGAGGGGUAGGGGUAAAAUCCUGUCAUCCUUCGAGGACCACCAGUUGCGAAGGCGCCACACUGGAACGGAUCCGACGGUCAGGGACGAAGCCUAGGGGCACGAACCGGAUUAGAUACCCGGGUAGUCCUAGGUGUAAACGCUGUGAACUUGGUGUCGGGGGUCCGCAAGGGGUCCCCGGUGCCGGAGUGAAGAUGUUAAGUUCACUGCCUGGGGAGUACGGUCGCAAGGCUGAAACUUAAAGGAAUUGGCGGGGCAGCAC